Thamnophis sirtalis is the source of this 564-nucleotide non-coding RNA. The record is from RefSeq and is a predicted model, not a curated record. Lineage: Eukaryota; Metazoa; Chordata; Lepidosauria; Squamata; Natricidae.
AUUAUUUUUAGGAAUCAUCGCUACUCGAGGUGCCAUCAUUAGAUGGGAACAACCAAAUAAGACAGUUGGCUGCUGACAAUGAGCGGCUGUUUGAGCCGGCCACCUAUAAAUUUACUUUUCAGCAGGAGGCAAAUCCCUCUCAGAUUUUGCAUCAAAACAUCACAUGCUCCGAGAUUGACAAGAGACCUCAGGAUGAGGGCAGGUCUGCCUUUGUUAGCACUGCAAACCAAAAUCGACCCGCGGCAAAGCAGUCCAGCUACUCAGUCAUCUGGAAUGGGCUUAUCCAGACGUUCAGUGUGAAGCAGUUUGUAGCCAAAGCAUAUCCUGUUUCUGGUUUUGGUCCUCGUCUCUGUCAGGCUUUACCAACAGUUCUUCGGUCAGCGGGAUGUAUUCUCCCCAAGAAUGUCUGGGCUUAUGUAGACAGCAUAUGGCCAACAAAGAGGGAGGUAUUUUCAUUCUUCCUUUGUUUAGGGAUGGUUAUUCAUAUCCUAACAAACCAACUUCCACUUCCAAAUAUAGGAUGCAAGCAGUGGUGGGAUUCAACCAGUUGGAACCUAUCUGGGA